GGCAGUGCUACAAGGGAUCAAGAUCAGCUCUU
This 32-nucleotide non-coding RNA is filed under the name Homo sapiens (human). Lineage: Eukaryota; Metazoa; Chordata; Mammalia; Primates; Hominidae. The record is from RNAcentral.